Molecule: ribosomal RNA, 460 nt
Filed under: uncultured bacterium
Lineage: Bacteria
Description: partial 16S ribosomal RNA
Rfam family: Bacterial small subunit ribosomal RNA
Source: RNAcentral
CCUACGGGAGGCUGCAGUGAGGAAUAUUGGUCAAUGGACGAGAGUCUGAACCAGCCAAGUAGCGUGAAGGAUGACUGCCCUAUGGGUUGUAAACUUCUUUUAUAAAGGAAUAAAACGAGGCACGUGUGCCUUUUUGCAUGUACUUUAUGAAUAAGGAUCGGCUAACUCCGUGCCAGCAGCCGCGGUAAUACGGAGGAUCCGAGCGUUAUCCGGAUUUAUUGGGUUUAAAGGGAGCGUAGAUGGGUUGUUAAGUCAGUUGUGAAAGUGUGCGGCUCAACCGUAAAAUUGCAAUUGAUACUGGCAGUCGUGAGUACAGUUGAGGUAGGCGGAAUUCGUGGUGUAGCGGUGAAAUGCUUAGAUAUCACGAAGAACCCCGAUUGCGAAGGCAGCUUACUAAACUGUGACUGACAUUGAUGCUCGAAAGUGUGGGUAUCAAACAGGAUUAGAUACCCGGGUAGUC